UGCACGUAAUUAUUUCUCUUAUCUACACGUAUAUGGUAUAUGUUGCUAUUGAUGGAAACCGAAUUUCUAUUUAGUUUUUUAGGGCAUAUUAUUCUGGGUUUUAUUUUAUUUCGUCAUUUUGUUAUUUUUUGGGUAAUAUUCUAAUUUAAUUACUGGAGGUCGAUUAUUAUUUACUUUUCCGAAUAUUAUGUGGUUAUUAGAAUUUCUGAGCAAAGAGGAGUAAGGGUGUUGAAAUUUCUGGUUGUAUUUAUUUGCUGAGAAUAAAAAAUUAUGCUUUGGUUUAAUGAACUUUUGGAAUAUAUGUUAUUGGUCAUUGUGUAAUUGGAUUUAUUUUCAUUCAUGUCUCGAUUUCGUGCCUUUUAUUUCCCCAAAAGCAAAGGACAAAUGUCAUUUGGAUGUCGUAUUUUAUGAGUAAAAAAUGUUGAAUGUGUGCUUGUCUGUAAUGGUUGUUCUGGGCAAUUUUGAUAUUUGAACAUUUGGGAAUUAUUAGUUUUCAGGUUGAUCAUCUCUGAUUCAGGGUUAUAAUAUUGUUUGAAAAAGAGACUAAUCAGAAGAUGGUAGAAGAAUUGAAGCAUAAUGAAAACUCAUGGAUGAACACAACAGAGCAGUCCUCUAGAAUGGUUGAGAUUGAUAAAAAUGUUACCUUGAUGCCUGAAUCAGUGGUGAUCGUGGAUGGAAUUGAAGCUUCUCAUCCUCAGCAGCCUCAGUCUCACAAUUUGAAGACCACCAUUGAUGGAAAAUUGGGCUUUCCCGAUCGUGCCUUAGAGGCUGCUGGUGCUGCAGUUCUCUCAGCCAUUCUUGUUAAUCCACUUGAUGUUGCCAAGACGCGUUGCAAGCACAGGCUGCUGGAGUUGCUUUCUCUCAUUCAUUGAGUGAUUUUACCAGUCGAAUGGCCUUUUCUGGACUGAAUAUGUUGUUUGCAGAUCUAAGGUGUUCUCCAUCGUGCACCCGUGCUGAUGUUCAUGGUAGAGUGUCAAUUUGUGCUCCUAAUUGUUUCCAUUACGAAGGAACAUUGGAUGUCUUCUAUAAAAUUAUUCGACAGGUAAGUGCAGUGUUGGUUACUUCUACACAAACUAUAAAGUUUGACAAGCUGUGUUAUCAUUUCAGUUGUUAGAUAAAUAAUGGUUCUGUGCUUUACAAGAAGGAAUUUCUAGGCUGUGGAGAGGUACAAAUGCUGGCUUAGCUCUUUCGGUACCCACUGUGGGCAUCUACUUGCCAUGCUAUGACAUUUUCCUUCAGCAGUUAGAGAAAUUCACAGCACAAAAUGCUCCAAGCAUGACACCAUAUGCACCAUUGGUGGCAGGCUCAUUGGCUCGAUCUUUAGCUUGCACAAGUUGCUAUCCCAUUGAACUUGCCAAAACACGUAUGCAGGCGUUCAAGGAUUGUGUUAGGAAGCCUCCUGGAGUAUGGAAGAAUUUACUUGAAGUUAUCUAUCAGAUCAAGAGCACGACUAGCAUCACUAACAGGUGUACAUUGAUCUUCUUCGCUUACUAAAGAAGGUUGAUAUUAUUAAACUGUAAGUUACAUUAUUUCUAAAACCAACAGGCAGCCAAAGAUUUGUGCAUAGAAAUAAAGUAAGGUAUUGUGGCCAUGCCAAUCGUUUUCUAGAAAC
Molecule: long non-coding RNA, 1612 nt
Organism: Olea europaea var. sylvestris
Lineage: Eukaryota; Viridiplantae; Streptophyta; Magnoliopsida; Lamiales; Oleaceae
Exons: 5
Source: RefSeq, a predicted model, not a curated record